This 301-nucleotide ribosomal RNA is filed under the name uncultured bacterium. RNAcentral describes it as "partial 16S ribosomal RNA". It matches the Rfam family "Bacterial small subunit ribosomal RNA", at positions 509 to 807 of the family's 1533-position model. The record is from RNAcentral.
CAGCCGCCACGGGAAUACGAAGGGGGCUAGCGUUGUUCGGAAUUACUGGGCGUAAAGCGCACGUAGGCGGAUAUUUAAGUCAGGGGUGAAAUCCCGCAGCUCAACUGCGGAACUGCCUUUGACACUGGGUAUCUUGAGUAUGGAAGAGGUUAGUGGAAUUGCGAGUGUAGAGGUGAAAUUCGUAGAUAUUCGCAGGAACACCAGUGGCGAAGGCGGCUAACUGGUCCAUAACUGACGCUGAGGUGCGAAAGCGUGUGGAGCAAACAGGAUUAGAUACCCGCGUAGUCCCUGUCUCUUAUAC